CGGGGCGUAGCGCAGCUUGGUAGCGCACUUGUCUCGGGUGCAAGGGGUCGGAGGUUCGAAUCCUCUCGCCCCGACCA
RNAcentral lists this transfer RNA (77 nucleotides) under Acidobacteriota bacterium. RNAcentral describes it as "Acidobacteria bacterium tRNA-Pro". It matches the Rfam family "tRNA". Rfam says of the family: Transfer RNA (tRNA) molecules are approximately 80 nucleotides in length. Their secondary structure includes four short double-helical elements and three loops (D, anti-codon, and T loops). Lineage: Bacteria; Pseudomonadati; Acidobacteriota. The record is from RNAcentral. RNAcentral also lists the same sequence under 1 other name.